CGUUGAGCCUCGGGGUGCCUGCAAAGGCUGAGAUGCAUGAUGCGAACCCGUUGAACCUGACCCGGUUAACACCGGCGGAGGGAAGGUAUCGGACACACGC
This 100-nucleotide non-coding RNA is filed under the name Primorskyibacter flagellatus. RNAcentral's name for it is "Pseudooceanicola flagellatus TPP sequence". It matches the Rfam family "TPP riboswitch aptamer (THI element)". Rfam says of the family: Vitamin B(1) in its active form thiamin pyrophosphate (TPP) is an essential coenzyme that is synthesised by coupling of pyrimidine and thiazole moieties in bacteria. Lineage: Bacteria; Pseudomonadati; Pseudomonadota; Alphaproteobacteria; Rhodobacterales; Roseobacteraceae. The record is from Rfam by way of RNAcentral.